Molecule: transfer RNA, 98 nt
Filed under: Dehalococcoidia bacterium
Lineage: Bacteria; Bacillati; Chloroflexota; Dehalococcoidia
Description: tRNA-Sec
Rfam family: Selenocysteine transfer RNA
Source: RNAcentral
GGGAGCGCAUAGGUCCCGGUGGGCUUCGCGGACUUCAAAUCCGUUGGUGGGCUCCCUUCGGCGUCCACGGUGGGUUCGACUCCCAUGCGCUCCCGCCA